Molecule: ribosomal RNA, 715 nt
Filed under: Rhodococcus opacus
Lineage: Bacteria; Bacillati; Actinomycetota; Actinomycetes; Mycobacteriales; Nocardiaceae
Description: bacterial SSU rRNA
Rfam family: Bacterial small subunit ribosomal RNA
Source: RNAcentral
CACAUGCAAGUCGAGCGGUAAGGCCCUUCGGGGUACACGAGCGGCGAACGGGUGAGUAACACGUGGGUGAUCUGCCCUGCACUUCGGGAUAAGCCUGGGAAACUGGGUCUAAUACCGGAUAUGACCUUCGGCUGCAUGGCUGAGGGUGAAAAGGUUUACUGGUGCAGGAUGGGCCCGCGGCCUAUCAGCUUGUUGGUGGGGUAAUGGCCUACCAAGGCGACGACGGGUAGCCGACCUGAGAGGGUGACCGGCCACACUGGGACUGAGACACGGCCCAGACUCCUACGGGAGGCAGCAGUGGGGAAUAUUGCACAAUGGGCGAAAGCCUGAUGCAGCGACGCCGCGUGAGGGAUGACGGCCUUCGGGUUGUAAACCUCUUUCAGCAGGGACGAAGCGAAAGUGACGGUACCUGCAGAAGAAGCACCGGCUAACUACGUGCCAGCAGCCGCGGUAAUACGUAGGGUGCAAGCGUUGUCCGGAAUUACUGGGCGUAAAGAGUUCGUAGGCGGUUUGUCGCGUCGUUUGUGAAAACUCACAGCUCAACUGUGAGCCUGCAGGCGAUACGGGCAGACUUGAGUACUGCAGGGGAGACUGGAAUUCCUGGUGUAGCGGUGAAAUGCGCAGAUAUCAGGAGGAACACCGGUGGCGAAGGCGGGUCUCUGGGCAGUAACUGACGCUGAGGAACGAAAGCGUGGGUAGCAAACAGGAUUAGAUA